CCUACGGGAGGCAGCAGUGGGGAAUAUUGGACAAUGGGCGCAAGCCUGAUCCAGCAAUGCCGCGUGUGUGAAGAGGGCCUUCGGGUUGUAAAGCACUUUUAUCAGGAGCGAAAUACCACGGGUCAAUAACCUAUGGGGCUGACGGUACCUGAGGAAUAAGCACCGGCUAACUUCGUGCCAGCAGCCGCGGUAAU
This 194-nucleotide ribosomal RNA is filed under the name uncultured bacterium. Its description in RNAcentral is "partial 16S ribosomal RNA". It matches the Rfam family "Bacterial small subunit ribosomal RNA", at positions 338 to 524 of the family's 1533-position model. The record is from RNAcentral.